Molecule: non-coding RNA, 2126 nt
Organism: Mesocricetus auratus (golden hamster)
Lineage: Eukaryota; Metazoa; Chordata; Mammalia; Rodentia; Cricetidae
Source: the annotation of a RefSeq genome assembly
AGUCCCCAAGACUGGGAGCAGAAGGGACAAUCUGGCAAUUCACUAGAUCUCGGGGGAGGGGGCACGAUCCCUAUGGGGUACCUGUUCCCUGGACUUAAACCUAAGGGGCAGCCUGGUCCCCUGUUAAUAUCGUCUCGCCCACCUUGAAGCUGCUCCGUUCAUCCUGUGUUAACUGGAGAUCCCCUCCCUCCCGCCAGUUCCCGAAUAACCACUCUGAGGCUGAAUAUUAAUUACAAGCUGCUUGGCUGAUGGUUCAGGCGUCUUACCGCUAGCUCUACACAUAUCACCACAUGCCCCGUGGCUCGCCGGGGGAUGCUCUGGCAUCUCUCAGAUUCCACCUUCUUUUUCCCUGUAUCUUUGCUUGGACUUCCUGCCCGGCUGUCUUGUGCCUGGGUAUUGGCCAAAUCAGCCACUUUAUCAGCCAAUGGUAAUAAAGCGCACUCGCAGCACACAGAGACUCCCCACGUCAAUCCUGCAGCCUGAAUGAAUGCCUUCCAGUCUGCCACCCCGGUCUGCCAUUUCGUUUGCAGCCAUGUCCUAGAUGAUGUCACCGCCACCUGGCUACAUUCCCGCGUGAUUUCUCAAACAAGAAGGAGGGCAAGUUUGCAUCUCCCUCCAAAGCUCAAGUUUCGCCCUCCUGUGCCAAGCCGGCUGGGGGGGUCAAUGAGUGAGAAAAGCCUGGAAGGGUGUAAGGCAUUGGGGUGGGGGAGCCUCCCUGGGCCUGAGGAUGAAGACGGGACCCAGAAGGAGUCUCCGAUACUGGGACAGGGUCCCCAGAGCCUCGCUUCUGUCACAGCCACCCUCGUCAGUCCCCCAGCCUGCAGGACUACAGUGAGCCGAGGCCAGUCUAACCUAGAUCCUUUCUCGCAGCGGCUGUCCAGAAACCUGCCGUCUAUACCUUAAAGCCCUAUAGCGCAAACACCGCCUCCAUGGCCCUGGGCUGCCUGGUAAAGGACUACUUCCCUGGCCCGGUGACUGUGACCUGGCAUCCCAAGACGCAGAACAUGAGCAUCGUGAAUUUCCCUGCCCUGGGCUCUGACCUCCUGGUCACCGCCAGCCAGGUGACCACCUGGGACAAGUCAGUCAAGAACUUCACUUGCCAAGUGACACACGCCCCAUCCGGACUCAGCAUAAGCAAGGUGAUCAGAGGACCACUUUGCAAUCUAACCCGGCCCACCUUGAAGCUGCUCCACUCAUCCUGCGACCGCAACGGGUUCCAGUCCACCCUCCAGCUCUACUGCUUCAUCUAUAACCACACUCUUGAUGACGUCGCUGUCACCUGGUUCAGGGACGGACAGGAGAUGCCCAGUGCGUCUCCGGGUGUCUUUCCGAUCAAGAGGGAGGGCAAGCUAGCCUCUUCCUACAGUGAGCUCAACAUCACCACAGAGCAGUGGAUGUCUGAGAGCACCUUCGCCUGCAAGGUCACCUCCCAAGGCGAGGACUAUCACGCCUCUAUCCAGAAGUGCCCAGAGUAUGAACCACGUGGCGUGAGUACCUACCUGAUCCCACCCAGCCCCCUGGACCUGUAUGUAAAGAAGACUCCCAAGCUUACCUGCCUGGUGGUGGACCUGGAAAGCAAGGAGAAUGUCACUGUGGAGUGGACCCAAGAGCACAGGAAGCCUGCAGGCUUGGCAGUCCAGAGUUCCACCAGGCACCACAAUGCAACGACCAGUAUCACCUCCACCCUGCCAGUGGACGCCAACGACUGGAUUGAAGGCGAACGCUACAGGUGCAGAGUGGUCCACCCUCACCUGCCCAAGCCCAUUGUGCGCAUCAUCUCCAAGGCCUGGGGCAAGCGCUCAGCCCCCGAGGUGUAUGCGUUCCCACCGCCAGAGGACGAGAACAAGGACAAACGCACACUCACCUGCCUGAUCCAGAACUUCUUCCCUGAGGACAUCUCGGUGCAGUGGCUGCAGGACGGGACACCGAUCCCAAACACCCAGUACAGAACCACAACGCCCCUAAGGUCCAGUGGCUCCAGUCACGGCUUCUUCAUCUUCAGCCGCCUAGAGGUCACCAGGGCACACUGGGCACAGAAUAAACAAUUCGCCUGCCAAGUGAUCCACGAGGCACUGCAAGAACCUAGGACGCUGGAGAGAAUAGUGCCCAAGACCCCUGGUAAAUGA